Molecule: long non-coding RNA, 107 nt
Organism: Phyllostomus discolor (pale spear-nosed bat)
Lineage: Eukaryota; Metazoa; Chordata; Mammalia; Chiroptera; Phyllostomidae
Exons: 3
Source: RefSeq, a predicted model, not a curated record
GUCAAGUUGCAUCAUAAGGUUGCAUCUGAUUGGUUUAUUCUUGGUACCGGAAAUCCUGAUCUACAGGUAUAGACACCUGAUUUCUUAAAAAAACAAUACAAGUCACU